AUUGAACGCUGGCGGCAGGCCUAACACAUGCAAGUCGAACGAGUGGCGGACGGGUGCGUAAUGUCUGGGAAACUGCCUGAUGGAGGGGGAUAACUACUGGAAACGGUAGCUAAUACCGCAUACCAUCAGAUGUGCCCAUAUGGGAUUAGCUAGUUGGUGGGUUAACGGCUCACCAAGCCGACGAUCCCUAGCUGGUCUGAGAGGCUGACCAGCCACACUGGAACUGAGAAACGGGCCAGACCCCUACGGGAGGCAGCAGUGGGGAAUAUGGCACAAUGGGGGCAAGCCUGAUGCAGCCAUGCCGCGUGUAUGAAGAAGGCCUUCGGGUUGUAAAGUACUGUCAGCGGGGAGGCGUUACCCGCAGAAGAAGCACCGGCUAACUCCGUGCCAGCAGCCGCGGUAAUUC
This 406-nucleotide ribosomal RNA is filed under the name uncultured bacterium. RNAcentral describes it as "partial 16S ribosomal RNA". It matches the Rfam family "Bacterial small subunit ribosomal RNA", at positions 30 to 526 of the family's 1533-position model. The record is from RNAcentral.